UGAAAAGGACCGAGGUCGGCUAAGUGCGCAACAUCUUGUUGCAACGCCGACAUUAGCACGUCGUGUGCG
Small RNA from Bacilli bacterium VT-13-104, 69 nucleotides. It matches the Rfam family "Bacillaceae-1 RNA". The record is from Rfam. Lineage: Bacteria; Bacillati; Bacillota; Bacilli.